Molecule: ribosomal RNA, 483 nt
Filed under: uncultured bacterium
Lineage: Bacteria
Description: bacterial SSU rRNA
Rfam family: Bacterial small subunit ribosomal RNA
Source: RNAcentral
AAAGGAAUAGACGGGGACCCGCACAAGCAGAGGAUGAUGUGGUUUAAUAUGAAGCUACGCGUAGAACCUUACCGAGGUUUGACAUCCCAGGAAGUCAGUCGAAAGACAGAUGUGCCUUCGGGAACCUGGUGACAGGUGCUGCAUGGCCGUCGUCAGCUCGUGUCGUGAGAUGUUGGGUUAAGUCCCGCAACGAGCGCAACCCUUAUCGUAUGUUGAAUUUUUCAUACGAAACUGCCCGGGCCAACCGGGAGGAAGGUGGGGACGACGUCAGGUCGGCAUGGCCCUUACACCUCGGGCCACUCACGUCAUACAAUGGCCGGUACAAUGCGUCUUGCCAACCCGCGAGGGGGAGCUAAUCGCAUCAAAACCGGUCUCAGUUCGGAUAGCAGGCUGCAACUCGCCUGCUUGAAGUCGGAUUUGCUAGUAAACGUGGGUCAGCAUACCACGUUGAAUACGUUCCCGGGUCUUGUACACACCGCCCGU